This 432-nucleotide RNase P RNA is filed under the name Desulfovibrio sp. Its description in RNAcentral is "RNase P RNA component class A". It matches the Rfam family "Bacterial RNase P class A". Rfam says of the family: Ribonuclease P (RNase P) is a ubiquitous endoribonuclease, found in archaea, bacteria and eukarya as well as chloroplasts and mitochondria. Its best characterised activity is the generation of mature 5'-ends of tRNAs by cleaving the 5'-leader elements of precursor-tRNAs. Cellular RNase Ps are ribonucleoproteins. The record is from RNAcentral. Lineage: Bacteria; Pseudomonadati; Thermodesulfobacteriota; Desulfovibrionia; Desulfovibrionales; Desulfovibrionaceae.
AAAGCGGGCCGGAUCAUCGCUGCGCGCGCCGCAAUCCGGGGUAUGCGUCUCCCGCCAGAGGCGCGCUCCCGGUUUUUCCGGAACGCGGGGAGGAAAGUCCGGGCUCCGAAGGGCACGGCGCUGGGUAACGCCCAGGUGGAGCAAUCCACGGCAAGUGCAACAGAAAGCAAACCGCCCCGUUUCAAACGGGGUAAGGGUGAAAGGGUGGGGUAAGAGCCCACCGGCUGGAGCGGUGACGCGCCAGGCCAGGUAAACCCCGCCGGGAGCAAGACCAAAUAGGGAAGCGUUCGAGGCCGGCCCGGCCGAUGCUUCCGGGUAGGUCGCUUGAGGCCGCGGGCAAUCGCGGUCCCAGAGGAAUGAUGAUCACUCCUCCCUGAGGCCAACGGCCUUAAGGGAGGUGGACAGAACCCGGCUUACAGGCCCGCUUUCGUC